This 754-nucleotide ribosomal RNA is filed under the name Psychrobacter sp. MMRF595. RNAcentral describes it as "bacterial SSU rRNA". It matches the Rfam family "Bacterial small subunit ribosomal RNA", at positions 236 to 982 of the family's 1533-position model. Lineage: Bacteria; Pseudomonadati; Pseudomonadota; Gammaproteobacteria; Moraxellales; Moraxellaceae. The record is from RNAcentral.
UCGGAUUAGCUAGAUGGUGGGGUAAAGGCCUACCAUGGCGACGAUCUGUAGCUGGUCUGAGAGGAUGAUCAGCCACACCGGGACUGAGACACGGCCCGGACUCCUACGGGAGGCAGCAGUGGGGAAUAUUGGACAAUGGGGGGAACCCUGAUCCAGCCAUGCCGCGUGUGUGAAGAAGGCCUUUUGGUUGUAAAGCACUUUAAGCAGUGAAGAAGACUCUUCGGUUAAUACCCGGGGACGAUGACAUUAGCUGCAGAAUAAGCACCGGCUAACUCUGUGCCAGCAGCCGCGGUAAUACAGAGGGUGCAAGCGUUAAUCGGAAUUACUGGGCGUAAAGCGAGCGUAGGUGGCUUGAUAAGUCAGAUGUGAAAUCCCCGGGCUUAACCUGGGAACUGCAUCUGAAACUGUUAGGCUAGAGUAGGUGAGAGGGAAGUAGAAUUUCAGGUGUAGCGGUGAAAUGCGUAGAGAUCUGAAGGAAUACCGAUGGCGAAGGCAGCUUCCUGGCAUCAUACUGACACUGAGGCUCGAAAGCGUGGGUAGCAAACAGGAUUAGAUACCCUGGUAGUCCACGCCGUAAACGAUGUCUACUAGUCGUUGGGUCCCUUGAGGACUUAGUGACGCAGCUAACGCAAUAAGUAGACCGCCUGGGGAGUACGGCCGCAAGGUUAAAACUCAAAUGAAUUGACGGGGGCCCGCACAAGCGGUGGAGCAUGUGGUUUAAUUCGAUGCAACGCGAAGAACCUUACCUGGUCUU